RNAcentral lists this long non-coding RNA (1277 nucleotides) under Anas platyrhynchos platyrhynchos (common mallard). RNAcentral's name for it is "lncRNA (ENSAPLG00000029183.1)". Lineage: Eukaryota; Metazoa; Chordata; Aves; Anseriformes; Anatidae. The record is from RNAcentral.
CAUAAGGCAGCAGAAUUCACUAGACUUAGGGAGCGGAGGGCAUAAUGAGAGGAUAAGAUCUUGUAAAACUUCUGAUUAAACAAAUGGAAACAGGGAGAAAAGAGAUAACCCUACACUGAAGAACAAGUUUCCCAUGAAGGCAUCAGCCCAAAUCCCGAGGAUGAUCCUUAAUCGAGCACCAGGGGCAGAGCAGGGAGGCCAGGCCCACCUGCCUGCACUUUGCCAUCACCAGGGCCCACAUCUGCAGGUGGUUGGCGAGGGGCUGGGGGAUAAAUGAGGAGCUGGGGACAAGGUUUCCCCUCCAGCAGUGUGAGGAGCAGUCUGCACCAGGCUUGUGGGGUAUUGCCUGCUUUGUGCCUGCCUCGGGAAGCACGCGGAGCUGCUGCUUUGGCCGUGAGGCCCUGCUGUGAAGCCUGCAUGUGUGGCUCGGCUGGUGAAGGUGCUGCUCUUCUCCCUUCUCAUCCUCUGUUGCCUACGGUUUGAUCUUUUUAUCUUCAAUGCUGCGGUGGGGGAAGAAUCGCGUUCAAUUCAAGUCAGGUCUGCACCAGAUAGAGCACGCUCCUUAAGUUGUUUUUACUAGGAAAGCUUGUAAAAACAAAAGCAGAACCAAAAACCCUCUGUACACCUGUAACACUGAUUACCUGGAGCCUUCACAAGUACCUGCUGAAUUGGGAUUAGUUGCGGAGGCCCCUCUGAGGCAGAGGAUUUUUUGCAGCUGGAGAAACUGAGGCCCAGAAACUGGGCGAAGCUGUGAAGGUUUGUUUGGUUUGUUUGCAGUGCCCUGCUUUGCCAGGGCCCAGGUCCCAGAGCCCUGCUUUAAUGCCUCAACCAAGUGCCUUUUUAGUCGUCGUGCUGGAUUAGCAGCCCCAGAGGCUCCUAAUCUGCUAUCCAUAUGGCGCACGCAGCACGGGGAUCUACCCGCUGAUCUCCCUUUGUAUUUCUAGGCUGAUUAGAUGGGACGGUCCCCUGAGAUCACAAACCAGCAUCAUCUCCCCUGCCCGUUCGUUCCACAUUUGCUAACACGCUGCCCUUGCGCUCCUCUCUCCCUCUGCACCGCGGGCUGCUGAGCGCUGCCCUCCACGCAGGGGUGGGAGCCCACUCCGUGCUCCCACCACCCUGCUAAAUUCACACGAGCCUUCCAUCAUUGCAGGAGGACAGUUCUGUGGGUGGGAGGAGCAGGGAUGACCCUGGAAAUGGGGCAGUUGUGGCACUCGCUGGGGGCUCUUGGCAGUGCUCUGGCAUUGCGGGCUUCCCAAAAGUGGUGGAGAGCAUCCCUG